This is a transfer RNA of 87 nucleotides. It matches the Rfam family "tRNA". From Rfam's summary of the family: Transfer RNA (tRNA) molecules are approximately 80 nucleotides in length. Their secondary structure includes four short double-helical elements and three loops (D, anti-codon, and T loops). Further hydrogen bonds mediate the characteristic L-shaped molecular structure. tRNAs have two regions of fundamental functional importance: the anti-codon, which is responsible for specific mRNA codon recognition, and the 3' end, to which the tRNAs corresponding amino acid is attached (by aminoacyl-tRNA synthetases). tRNAs cope with the degeneracy of the genetic code in two manners: having more than one tRNA (with a specific anti-codon) for a particular amino acid; and 'wobble' base-pairing, i.e. permitting non-standard base-pairing at the 3rd anti-codon position.
CUCACCAUAGCUCAGUUGGUAGAGCAUUCGACUGUAGUGGAAAUCGCGGAUAUCGAAUUGUCCUUGGUUCGAUUCCGAGUGGUGAGA